GGUAGCAUAACAGGUCCGUGAUGCCCUUUAGAUGCUCUGGGCUGCACGCGUGCUACAAUGUUAGGAUCAAUAGGACUGCGAGCCUGAGAGGGUGCGCUACUCUUAUAAUCCCUAACGUAGUUGGGAUUGACGUUUGUAAUCAGCGUCAUGAACCAGGAAUCCCUUGUAAAUGUGUGUCAACAACGCACGUUGAAUACGUCCCUGCCCUUUGUACACACCGCCCGUCGCUCCUACCGAUUGGAUGACUCGGUGAAAUCACCGGAUGCUUACGAGCAGAAAGUGAUUAAAUCACGUUAUCUAGAGGAAGGAGAAGUCGUAACAAGGUAACGGUAGGUGAACCUGCCGUUGGAUCAGUU
Molecule: non-coding RNA, 356 nt
Filed under: Trichomonas vaginalis G3
Lineage: Eukaryota; Parabasalia; Trichomonadida; Trichomonadidae
Description: Eukaryotic small subunit ribosomal RNA
Rfam family: Eukaryotic small subunit ribosomal RNA
Source: Rfam by way of RNAcentral